AUCCGGGUUGCGGACAGUGUCUGGUGGGUAGUUUGACUGGGGCGGUCUCCUCCUAAAGAGUAACGGAGGAGCACGAAGGUUGGCUAAUCUUGGUCGGACAUCAGGAGGUUAGUGCAAUGGCAUAAGCCAGCUUGACUGCGAGCGUGACGGCGCGAGCAGGUGCGAAAGCAGGUCAUAGUGAUCCGGUGGUUCUGAAUGGAAGGGCCAUCGCUCAACGGAUAAAAGGUACUCCGGGGAUAACAGGCUGAUACCGCCCAAGAGUUCAUAUCGACGGCGGUGUUUGGCACCUCGAUGUCGGCUCAUCACAUCCUGGGGCUGAAGUAGGUCCCAAGGGUAUGGCUGUUCGCCAUUUAAAGUGGUACGCGAGCUGGGUUUAGAACGUCGUGAGACAGUUCGGUCCCUAUCUGCCGUGGGCGCUGGAGAAUUGAGGGGGGCUGCUCCUAGUACGAGAGGACCGGAGUGGACGCAUCACUGGUGUUCGGGUUGUCAUGCCAAUGGCACUGCCCGGUAGCUAAAUGCGGAAGAGAUAAGUGCUGAAAGCAUCUAAGCACGAAACUUGCCCCGAGAUGAGUUCUCCCUGACUCCUUGAGAGUCCUGAAGGAACGUUGAAGACGACGACGUUGAUAGGCCGGGUGUGUAAGCGCAGCGAUGCGUUGAGCUAACCGGUACUAAUGAACCGUGAGGCUUAACCUUACAACGCCGAAG
This 705-nucleotide ribosomal RNA is filed under the name Escherichia coli. Its description in RNAcentral is "partial 23S ribosomal RNA". It matches the Rfam family "Bacterial large subunit ribosomal RNA", at positions 2238 to 2925 of the family's 2925-position model. The record is from RNAcentral. Lineage: Bacteria; Pseudomonadati; Pseudomonadota; Gammaproteobacteria; Enterobacterales; Enterobacteriaceae.